Molecule: non-coding RNA, 77 nt
Organism: Tephrocybe sp. NHM501043
Lineage: Eukaryota; Fungi; Basidiomycota; Agaricomycetes; Agaricales; Lyophyllaceae
Source: the annotation of a GenBank genome assembly
GGGGGCAUAGCUCAGUUGGGAGAGCAGCAGACUGAAGUGAUUUCUGAAGGUCCCGCGUUCAAUCCGCGGUGCCCCCA